UCAUACUCCACAUCAACACUGAGUUCAUCCAUUGGCUCAUUCUGAACUGCUGCUGAGAAGAGAAGUACUGUCACACUGACAGACUGACAAACUUCAGCUAGUUCCUCCUGUUGAUUGAAUCCUUGUUGUAGAGAUGGAGCGUUGGCUGUGGAUCAUUCUGGCUGCUCUUUUCUUUGGGUGUAAAGGAGAAGAGAGAGCGACCCAGCCAUCAGGAGAGGUCGUUGCUACUGAAGGAGACAACGUCACACUUGAAUGUUCAUUUGAGACCUCUAGUGGGAGUCCAACUUUGUUCUGGUACAAACAAAAAGUUGGUGAUUUCCCAAAGUACAUGCUGAGAUGUUUCUCAGAAAACACAGAAUUUGCUCCUGGGAUCGACAAAGACAGAUUUAAUGCUGCAAUCAAGGAGAAAUCAGUUCCUCUGAAGAUCCAGAAGCUUCAGCUGACUGACUCUGCUGUGUACUACUGUGCUCUGAGGCCCACAGUGACAGGAAACACCAACACUCUGUACAAAAACCUUUGGAGCAAACACAACACAAUACUCCACAACAUCCACUAG
Notolabrus celidotus (New Zealand spotty) is the source of this 556-nucleotide non-coding RNA. The record is from the annotation of a RefSeq genome assembly. Lineage: Eukaryota; Metazoa; Chordata; Actinopteri; Labriformes; Labridae.